Ailuropoda melanoleuca (giant panda) is the source of this 2511-nucleotide long non-coding RNA. RefSeq lists it as uncharacterized. The transcript has 2 exons. Lineage: Eukaryota; Metazoa; Chordata; Mammalia; Carnivora; Ursidae. The record is from RefSeq and is a predicted model, not a curated record.
CUUCACCGAGCUGUUCACCUGGGAAUUGAGCACUUCAUGUAAAUUAUACCCCAAUUAAAAACAAAGCCAGUAGUGCUCACAGCAGGCCCCGGGGGAACGAAAAGUUUAAAUCACUUGACCAUCAGGAGCUGGGGACAUCAGCUAGCUUGGGAGCUAAAGCAGAAACUGGGUAGAGGGGGAGAGGAGAGCCAGAGACCCAGAUAGACAGACACAGAUCGAGGAUGACAGACGGAGAAGGUGCUUAUGGGAAGAAGUUGACCCAAAUUCCAGGCAGUUGAAUUUGUCCUAGGAGAAAAGGGUGGGGUUUGGCUUCCAACUAGGGUGACCGGUUUGCCCAGGACUCCUGGUUUGGGGCACCGAAAGUUCUGUACUCUGGGAAACGUCUCGGGCCAAGGCAGUGGGGACAGCUCAGCACCGGGCUCCCAAGGCCUGGCACUGGGCUGGGCUGGCGGGGGGGAGCAGGCCCAGAAACCAUCCGCACCCAGAGCCCCCCCCCCAAGCGUUGAGGAGGAGCGCAGGAGGGGUUAGGUAGAUGGGCUCUCUCCUCUUCUGCCAGAGGUGGCUGUGAAUCCCCCGAGAGUCUGAGAGGAGGUAGUGGCGACCUCCUUCGGGGCCCUCCCAUUUCUCCAGCUGCCUCUGUCCAGUCUCCACCUUCGCAGCGCCCAUCAGCUCUGCUCACGCCCCUGCACCAGCGCCUCGGGGGGUUCUUGACCAUUUCGUGCCACAGAGCCUCUGACAGCUUGAAGUGUUCGUGCUCGGCUCAGAAGAAUGCCUUCCAUGCACAAAAUCAGAUGUGAACGGUCAUAAAGAGCAUCUAUUAUGCGGAGAGACUGCUAGCAAAAGAGUCUUGUUCGUGCAUUUGCGAUCAAGUCAUUCACAGCCUCCUUCACGAAUGCUUUACCUACCGAAAUUCAGCAGCAGGCGGGGUGCUGAGGAGUCAGGACACUGCGUGGCCAUUUGUGAUACCUGCGGCAACCGUACUGGGGACGUGGGACUGCCUGGGAUUUCUGCGGGGGACUGUCGCAGGUGCUGCCAAGCCUGCUGUGCUGGGCUGCCCCCAUUCCUAUGAGCCGGGAAUGACAAGUUUCACUUAGUCGAUAAAGAAAAUAUAGGGGUAAUUUCUGUCCCAUCCAAGGUCACCUGUACCUCUGAAUUCUACCCAUGUACUUAAGGUGAAAAAGCACCAUGUAAGAGAAGGAAAGUCAGGCGUAAACAGUAGAGUGCGGGGCCCUGUGAGUGUUGUUAGCCCUUGAGGGCCGUGGCGUGGGCAGGGGAGGUUGAGAAGCAGGUUCAAACCGGAUUAUUAGCCCGCAAACCGUGAGGCCAGAAGCAAACAGGGGAGCCUCGUCUCUGUAUCUCCAAGCUGGCGGCCGGUUCUCAAUAGGCUUUGUGGUAGUAAAAAUAACAUUUGGUGUGACCCUGGCCUCCUGCCUCCAUUCCCGUGUGUGGGAGGACAGCCGGCUGGCAGAUUGCAGGCCCUGAGGGCGGCCGGGGAGCCCGGCUCUGCAGCCUGGAGAGAGGCCUUUGGGCCACAGGGGGAGCAGGCCUCGGUCCCUCAGGCUUCCCUGAACAGCCCUGUGGGAGACCAGCUUCGGGGAAGCCCUCCUCUUUGAAGGCGAGGCUCCACCUGGGACAGGUGGUCCACUCAGACCUCCAGGUCUUAGCAGGAGUGAGUUGUUUGUUUAAUAUCACCCUGUGCAGGAAUGCAGGGGACCAGAGACCCUGGGGGCAAGGAGACCCAUGGCUCUGGCACCAGCCCAAGUGACCUCCAGCUGGAAAACUGCCUUCUAAUUAGCAAUCAGGAAAUCAAGGCCUAGCACGGCGCCAAGCAGCAUGACCCCAGCCGUAGCCCAGUGACAUUUCCACCCUCUAGACAGCAUGCCCCUGCCCUGCGCUGCAGGGCUGCAGACCCCUCGGGUUAUUUUUAUCUAAUGGUGCUAUUGUUGGUCUUGCAUAGCUGCUGCGGUGGGUUCCAGCAGCCGUGAGCUCGCACUGACGGUUUCCUGUUCAGCUUCCUCUCUCUUGCGCGAGGUUUCCCCCCUCUGCCCCUGCUCGCAGGCAGGCCACCCCCAGGCCUCCUGGAGCCUGCCCCUGGCCUUGGAGGCGGCCAGGGGCCUGUGGCCUUCCAUGGCUCAUCCCCCUCCCCCCACACGAGAGUGCCCCAGCCCCUUUGCCUGUGCAGAGAAAGGGGGUACAGCUAAUUCUUCUAGGUGACUUUCUCACACCCCAAGGCUCUAGGAGAUGAAAGCACUGCUUUCUAGCAAGCCAGCUUCACCAAGUCAGUGGCUCUCCAACUGUUUAGACUGUGACUGACAGCAAGAAAAAGAUCUUCAUUUUUCAUAAUUGGGACACACAUCCAUACCUCUGUAGGAAUGACAGGUUUCAGGGAGGACCAAUCUUCCCAUGUCUGUUGCACUCUGGUUUUUCUUUUUUUUUUCCCUGUUAUAUUUUAGUGUUUCCUGUUUGAAGAUUCUGCUUGCAACCCACAAAUAAAUCGAUUUCACAACCCAA